ACGGAAGGCAGCAGUGGGGAAUAUUGGGCAAUGGGCGCAAGCCUGACCCAGCAACGCCGCGUGAAGGAAGAAGGCUUUCGGGUUGUAAACUUCUUUUGUCAGGGAACAGUAGAAGAGGGUACCUGACGAAUAAGCUCCGGCUAACUACGUGCCAGCAGCCGCGGUAAUACGUAGGGAGCGAGCGUUGUCCGGAUUUACUGGGUGUAAAGGGCGUGUAGGCGGGAUUACAAGUCAGACGUGAAAUUCCGGGGCUCAACCCCGGAACUGCAUUUGAAACUGUAGUUCUUGAGUACUGGAGAGGCAGGCGGAAUUCCUAGUGUAGCGGUGAAAUGCGUAGAUAUUAGGAGGAACACCAGUGGCGAAGGCGGCCUGCUGGACAGCAACUGACGCUGAGGCGCGAAAGCGUGGGGAGCAAACAGGAUUAGAUACCCUGGUA
RNAcentral lists this ribosomal RNA (436 nucleotides) under uncultured bacterium. RNAcentral describes it as "bacterial SSU rRNA". It matches the Rfam family "Bacterial small subunit ribosomal RNA", at positions 341 to 792 of the family's 1533-position model. The record is from RNAcentral.